This 305-nucleotide ribosomal RNA is filed under the name uncultured bacterium. RNAcentral's name for it is "bacterial SSU rRNA". It matches the Rfam family "Bacterial small subunit ribosomal RNA", at positions 334 to 653 of the family's 1533-position model. The record is from RNAcentral.
UUAUCCUACGGGGGGCAGCAGUGGGGAAUAUUGGGCAAUGGGCGCAAGCCUGACCCAGCAACGCCGCGUGAAGGAAGAAGGUUUUCGGGUUGUAAACUUCUUUUAUGAGGGACGAAACAAAUGACGGUACCUCAUGAAUAAGCCACGGCUAACUACGUGCCAGCAGCCGCGGUAAUACGUAGGUGGCAAGCGUUAUCCGGAUUUACUGGGUGUAAAGGGCGUGUAGGCGGGACUGCAAGUCAGAUGUGAAAAUUAUGGGAUCAACCCAUAACCUGCAUUUGAAACUGUAGUUAUUGAGUGAUGUG